RNAcentral lists this ribosomal RNA (449 nucleotides) under uncultured bacterium. Its description in RNAcentral is "partial 16S ribosomal RNA". It matches the Rfam family "Bacterial small subunit ribosomal RNA", at positions 29 to 523 of the family's 1533-position model. The record is from RNAcentral.
AACGAACGCUGGCGGCAUGCCUAACACAUGCAAGUCGAACGAGAUCUUCGGGUCUAGUGGCGCACGGGUGCGUAACGCGUGGGAAUCUGCCCUUUGGUUCGGAACAACAGUUGGAAACGACUGCUAAUACCGGAUGAUGACGAAAGUCCAAAGAUUUAUCGCCAGAGGAUGAGCCCGCGUAGGAUUAGCUAGUUGGUGUGGUAAAGGCGCACCAGGGCGACGAUCCUUAGCUGGUCUGAGAGGAUGAUCAGCCACACUGGGACUGAGACACGGCCCAGACUCCUACGGGAGGCAGCAGUGGGGAAUAUUGGACAAUGGGCGAAAGCCUGAUCCAGCAAUGCCGCGUGAGUGAUGAAGGCCUUAGGGUUGUAAAGCUCUUUUACCCGGGAUGAUAAUGACAGUACCGGGAGAAUAAGCUCCGGCUAACUCCGUGCCAGCCGCCGCGGUAA